GGCAAGGUGGUGCAGUGGGUGGCACCGUUGCCUCACAGCAAGAAGGUCCUGGGUUCGAACCCCCGCCCGGGCC
This 73-nucleotide transfer RNA is filed under the name Anguilla anguilla (European eel). RNAcentral's name for it is "tRNA-OTHER". Lineage: Eukaryota; Metazoa; Chordata; Actinopteri; Anguilliformes; Anguillidae. The record is from RNAcentral.